RNAcentral lists this ribosomal RNA (458 nucleotides) under uncultured bacterium. Its description in RNAcentral is "partial 16S ribosomal RNA". It matches the Rfam family "Bacterial small subunit ribosomal RNA", at positions 338 to 793 of the family's 1533-position model. The record is from RNAcentral.
CCUACGGGUGGCAGCAGUGAGGAAUAUUGGUCAAUGGGCGCGAGCCUGAACCAGCCAAGUCGCGUGAAGGAUGACUGCCCUACGGGUUGUAAACUUCUUUUAUAAAGGAAUAAAGUUAUCCACGUGUGCCUUUUUGUAUGUACUUUAUGAAUAAGCAUCGGCUAACUCCGUGCCAGCAGCCGCGGUAAUACGGAGGAUCCGAGCGUUAUCCGGAUUUAUUGGGUUUAAAGGGAGCGUAGAUGGGUUUUUAAGUCAGUUGUGAAAGUUUGCGGCUCAACCGUAAAAUUGCAAUUGAUACUGGCAGUCUAGAGUACAGGUGAGGUAGGCGGAAUUCGGGGUGUAGCUGUGAAACGCUGAGAUAUCACGAAGAACUCAGAGUGAGAAGGCAGCAUACUAAACUGCCACUGACAGUGAUGCUAGAGAGUGUGGGUAUCAAACAGGAUUAGAUACCAUUGUAC